CAAAUAGCUACUUUAACAUCAAACUACAUGCAACUUGUUUUCCCUGCUGGACUUCCAUAAUUGUGAAGCUGUGAUUACCAGAAUUUCUGAUUCAAAGAUUCUUGGCCCCGUUGACUGGAGGGUGGCCAUUUGACAACACAGAUUGUUUCCUGAGGAGGCUUUGGCUUCUGGUGACUUGGGCCCCAGGCAAGCUGGCCGAAUUGGCCGCAACCCAGAUUUGCCCUUGUAAGUGUGAAAAAUACCUCCAGUAUGACCCCAAGGCAAGAUGAAAGAAAACUGUGCUCUUGAAUGGCUUAUAGAUCCAGAGCCCCCCAACCAGCUUGAAAUGCCCACCUCAAAACAAUGACCUGAGAGGAAACAAACCUCUAAGCCGCUGUUUUUCCAAGAGCAUUAUAGUUUGAGAUCUCUCUUUCAGCAGUUUAGUCUCCAAAUAAAGACUUAUUGACCUUAUUUUACAGGUCAAGAAAAAUGAAUUUCAGGGGGACAAGUCACUAAUGUGUUAGAAAUUUUCCAGCUCUCCUUCCUUGCCCAGCAGAGGGUAUUUCCACUCAAACACAGUGCACCUGCUGGAAAGGGACAAAACAAAAUGGGAUGGGCCUGGGACAAGAGAACAUUCAGCUACACAGGAUCCACAUGAAACCCUUUCAUCUUUCCAUUUCCAGAUCUCAAAUGAGCAUUUUUGUCUAGCAGUUCUCCUCAAGAGGUUUGCUUUCCCCCCACAGCUUGUCACCAGUGUAAGGAGUUCAGAAAGAGCUUUUGGGGUUGUAGGUUAUGUGGCAUCAUCCCAGCUUGUCUCAACACCUCUGAUGAACAGUAAUGGAAGAAAGGACUCUUUCCACAUGAUUUCCUCAGCAAUCCUGUCUCUUAGGGAGUUUAUAAAAAAAAAAUCCAUCAUCUUGUUCUGCUAAACCCAGAUAAAUAUAAUUAACACCAAA
This is a long non-coding RNA of Cebus imitator (Panamanian white-faced capuchin), 935 nucleotides long. RefSeq lists it as uncharacterized. Lineage: Eukaryota; Metazoa; Chordata; Mammalia; Primates; Cebidae. The transcript is spliced from 3 exons. The record is from RefSeq and is a predicted model, not a curated record.